AUUGAACGCUGGCGGAAUGCUUUACACAUGCAAGUCGAACGGUAGAGGGGGCAACCCCUCGAGAGUGGCGAACGGGUGAGUAAUAUAUCGGAACGUGCCCAGUCGUGGGGGAUAACGUAGCGAAAGUUACGCUAAUACCGCAUACGAUCUAAGGAUGAAAGCGGGGGAUCGCAAGACCUCGCGCGAUUGGAGCGGCCGAUAUCAGAUUAGGUAGUUGGUGGGGUAAAGGCUCACCAAGCCAACGAUCUGUAGCUGGUCUGAGAGGACGACCAGCCAAACGGGAACUGAGAAAGGGUCCAGACUACUACGGGAGGCAGCAGUGGGGAAUUUUUGACACUGGACGCAAGUCUGAUCCAGCCAUUCCGCGUGCAGGAUGAAGGCCCUCGGGUUGUAAACUGCUUUUGUACGGAACGAAAAGGUCUCUCUUAAUACGGGGGGCUCAUGACGGUACCGUAAGAAUAAGCACCGGCUAACUACGUGCCAGCCGCCGCCGUAA
Molecule: ribosomal RNA, 496 nt
Filed under: uncultured bacterium
Lineage: Bacteria
Description: partial 16S ribosomal RNA
Rfam family: Bacterial small subunit ribosomal RNA
Source: RNAcentral